AUCUAGAAUCCUAGAUAUCCUUCUUUUACUCAGCUGUGAAAUCAUUAUCUCAAUACCUUUCUUGUAUUAAGAUGUCUCCAAACACCGAAACAUGUGCAUCACCAUCAACGACUUGAACACGCCUGUUAGUCAUUGAACCCGCCAGUAGCCUGAUGAGUACCUGGCCAUCGAUGAGUAUCUGUCCAUUUGCUAAUGUACUUUCUGAGGACACUGCCUCAAUAUUCCCCUGUGAUGCGACCAUAUCCAGAACUUCACCGGUUCCUUUUCUAUUAAAUGCAAUCAGCUUUUCCUUGCAUUUAGACCUUCAUGAAACUUCUUUCAGUUCCAUGACUUGAGCUUAAGAUGAGCCUACUUGUGGAGAAUAAGUCUUAUCCUUCCUGAGAUGGACAAACUAUAAGACAAUUCCCUACAAUGCCUGCAAUGUCUUCUAACAGUUUCUUACUUUGCUUCAUCUCACCAUUCUUCAUCUUCACUGCUCAAUAUUUCAGUAUCUCUUGAUACUUACUUCCCUUCAGUUUAACCAAGUACCUCACCAUGUGUUAUCUUGCAUCAUACUCGGUAUUGAUUUCAUGGUCCUCUGUAUCAACCUCACUGCAGUGUAAUCAUGAUACAAAUGCCGAUUUCACUUGUUUUGCCUACAAGUUACUUUAUGUAAGAAUCCUCUUACAAAUCUCCUGAUGAUGCACCUUGUAUUUGUUAACUGACCUUGAUACUCCUGGCCUUGACAUACUGAACAUAUCCACGACCCUCUUGUCAUGGAAUAACCUUUCCUUUUAGCUCUUACUCUCUUGAGCUGACCAUGUUGCUAACCGAAACUUUUACCCUUCAGCUGAACCAAUCAAGACAUCUUCUAACCAGUGACUCACUCCCCCUGGAAUCAGAUUAUAUAUAUAUAUAUAUCCCUGAUGCAUCAAUCCUUAUAUAAUCUCAGUGGCUCCACCUGAAUUAAAUAACCCUUUAGAAGUACCAUGUCUCUGUAACUAAGUUUCUGCAACUGUUCAUUGUUUAUGUCGGCCUUUCACUGUAUCUCUCAUCAUCCAACCAUGUGAUGCUCCUGAGAUACUCCCUUACAGCUUCUCUCGUGUCAAAACUCGGACCCAUGACGAGUUUCUCAAGCUGUAAUCAUACAUGAACCCUGACUUGUUCAAGCAUGAAGUUCCGACCCGGUCAACUUUGCAAAUUUCUCAUUUUGCUUAUGAGCUUCGAUUAUUGUCCGAGAGCUCCACUUUGACACUUAUGGUCGUGACACCAAACUGGUGUUCCUUACUCCUCUUCUGAGUCUAUUCAUCUUGGAUUUCCGACUCAGGCAUCCACGACGAUUCCUCUAAGGUAUAACUGAUAUCUUGCAUAUUUCCAUUGUUUUAUUCAUUUACCCAUGUGCAUUUUGAUCAUAUAGACUAGGAUUUAGACAUAUUUAGGUUGCAUUUUUCAUACAUGAGUAUUUAUCAGGUAUUGGAGUACCACGUGGAGUUCUUGGAGACAAUUGGGUGCAUUUGGAGCUAAAAAGAGGUGAUAAAUGUGAUCAUUGGACGAGCAGUGCAUGGGAGCGACCGCACCGGAGCGACACCGUGAAGUUGCUGUGACACCCCUUCAGAGCGACUUGACCAGAGCGACACCCCGAUGUCGCUCGCGUAGAAACAACAAAAACGCGCCCGGAGCGACCAGUCGCAGCGACCCCUCCGGGUCGCUCCCAAAGCCUGGAGCGACCUUACCACAACAACGCGGAGAAGUCGCUCGCGUCUUCAUCCCCAGGAGCGACCAGUCGCAGCGAACAGUCGCAGCGACCUCUCUAGGUUGCUCCCGAAGAAACGACCCGGGAGCGACUUCUCGCAGCGACUACUGGAGGUCGCUCCCGACCUAUUGUUUACCCGAAUUCAUUUCUAAUCAAGAGCCUUUGGUCAUUUCAUUAUGCACGUUUUACACUUUCUAAACCUAUGUUUAAGAAUCCUUUGUAAGCCAUUGGAGGCAGAUUAUCUGGAUCUUAAGAAACACAACCAAAAAAACCGCUUGGAAAGUUCAUCUCUUUGGAUUCAAUCGAUUUUCUGUUAUUGCAAUCCUGUUGUUUUCAUAUCGAUUCUCUGUAUUCCUCUACAUGAUUAAUCUGAAAUCCAAUAUGGGUUUAAGAGGAAUCAUAGAGAUUAGUGAGUAAUCACCUUUUGAAUUCAUGGGUUAGGGAGAUUAAGGGUGAUUAGGUUAGAACUAAGAUGUUUUAGUGUAGAUCAUUCUUAAUCAUUGCUAGUAGAGUAUUCAUAAUGCUUCUUCUGAGUUAGAUACUCAAAAGUUGACAUUUAGGCAUUUCCCACCCAAAAGGUGUUUGAUGAAAUGCCUGAGACAACUCUUCUAAGCUUUUAGCAUAUUUUACCGAAGACAUUUGUUGUUAGAAGUGCUAAGAUAGCCUUUAGACUUGCUAGUAAUGAUUGCUUUCAUAUUGUUCAACCAAAGACAUUUGUUGUUUGAAAUGUGUUAGUAAAUGAACAUUCAUCUAGACAUAGAGUCUGCUUAGAAUUGUGUCUAAGCUUAAGGUUGAUAGUUUGAUUGUUCGUUUUGCCAUCCUUAGUUCGAAACUUGAUCACCCGAGGUCUAAUUCCUAUGCCCAUGAGUUCUCUUUUCCCUUAGUUAAGAAAGUCGUUUCAUUUAUCGUUUUUAUUAUUCUGCAACUCCAUUAGCAUUAAUCGUUAGUUUAGAAAAACUUUUUAAUCAUCGGUUGCACUUAGAUUAAGCAAGUACUUGCACUCUCAGUGCUUGAAAUCCCUUAGAAUUGGUUCGACAAUCUUUUAUACUACAUCAUUUAUUUUAGGAGCCUUCAAAACUUUUAACAUCAAAUGGGCACCGUUGCCAAAUUCUGAGUAGAUUUGAACAUUGAGAUUUAGUCAGUUGCUUGAGACUAAGUCAUUUUUAUUUUCUUUUGUUACUGAUUCUCCUUCUUCACCUCCCUUUAAUUUACAGGUGUAAUAACUUGAGGAGCAGGGGUCCAUCAAACCUAGUUUCAAGAGCUGGAGACAUCAGAGCUUUAGAGAGAGAGUGUGCUAGAAAGAGAAGAGAAGAAGACCAGCAGGCUCACUUGCAGAGAAUGGAUACUGAUAUGGGAGACAUACCUCGAAAUGAUGCGGACGUCAAUGGAGCUAACAACGGUCCACAAAACCAACAGCGAGCAGCUCGACCCAUUGGCACUUAUGACCGCCCAAACAUUCAUGGUCACAGAUUGGGAAUCUGAGCACCAGCUGUAGCAGCCAACAACUUUGAGAUCAAAUCAGGACUCCUCAACGUGAUCGAGAACAACAAGUAUCAUGGCUUGGCUCUAGAGGACCCAUUUGAUCACUUGGACAGGUUCGACAGCUACUGUGGGUUGUCAAAGACCAAUGGUGUGUCCGAAGAUGCCUUAAAGCUCAAGCUAUUCCCUUUCUCUUUGGGGGAUAAGGCACGUCAGUGGGAGACGUCUCUACCCAGCGACUCUAUAACCACUUGGGAUGACUGCAAGAGAGCAUUUUUGGAGAAGUUCUUCUCUACUUCAAGAACUGCUAAGCUGAGAAAUGAGAUUUUCAGCUUUCAACAGAAGAACUUGGAAGAAUUCAGUGAAGCCUCGGAGAGAUUCAAGGGCUACCAAGCUCAAUGCCCACACCAUGGCGUCUCUAAGGAAAGCUUGCUGAGCACAUUCUACUGGGGUGCUCUUCCUAAGUACAGGGCCAGACUGAAUACAACUAGCAAUGGGUUCUUCUUGGGGAGAACUGAGGAAGAUGCAGAAGAGCUGGUUGACAACAUGGUAAAGAGUGAUGCAGUCUACAGCGGAGACCACGACAGAGGCAGUAGAUCAGAUGACAAGCAGACGAGGAAGGAGUUGAAAGCUCUACAGGAUAAGAUAGACAUCCUCACUGCUGAUAAAGCCACCCAAGAGCAGCUGCACUUUGUUGGUAACCCAAGCCAAGAGACAUCACCUGAUGCUCAUGAGGUUGAGGGUUUGGAAGGUCAAGAAGAGCUGUGUUUUAUCAACAACAAUGGUAGCUGGUACAAAAAGGAGCCCAACUUUCAGUACAACAACUACCAACAGAAAUCUUAUUCCAACAACCAACAAAGUGGUUAUCAGCCUCGAACAACCAACAAGGCAACUAUCAGCCUCAACAAAACCCUCCUCCUGGUUUCAACAGCAAAUGACACCAUUCUUCCCAACAACAAGCUAAUCCUUCUACCUCUACUCCUUAAGUCAGCAGCACUGAUGCCCUACUGAAACAAAUCUUGGAGUCUCAGACAAAAAGUGAGAAGCAUGUUGGCUAUGAGUUGAAGAACCUUCACUCAAAGAUUGAUGGAAGCUACAAUGAGCUCAACAACAAGUUCAGAACCUUGGAGAACCAGUUUACUGCCAUGAACACUCAACAAAAUCGCCAACAAGGUUCUUUACCUGGAAAAUCUGAGCAAAACCCCAAGGAGACCAUGAAAGUUAUCACCCUCAGGAGUGGUAAGGAGUUACCUCAAAAAGCUCUCACCAAGGAUGCUGAGAAACAAGGUGAGGGGGUUGCCAUCAACAUAGAUGAUGAAGUGGUGAUUGUUGAUGAGAAAAUCAAUGAUGAAAUCUUGGAGAAGAUUUUGGAAGCAAAAGGUAAAGGAAAGGUUGGGGAAGAGAAGAAAACAGUGAAAGAUGGUGAAGUUGUUGCUCCAGAAAGUGAGAAUUCUUUUGUUCCUCCUCCCUAUGAAUCCAAACUACCAUUCCCUGGUAGAUUCAAGAGGCAGCUGCUAGAGAAGUACAAAGCUCUAUUUGAGAAGCAAAUGAGUGAAGUUCAAGUCACAAUGCCUAUCAUUGAUGCUUUCAUGCUAAUUCCUCAAUAUAGCAAGUUCCUGAAAGAUGUUGUAGCUGCAAAGAAGAAGGAGAUGGAGGGCAUGAUGAUUCUCACUCAUGAGUGCAGUGCCAUCAUCCAGAGGCUCGUUGUUCCAAAGAAGCUAGAAGAUCCAGGAUGCUUCACAUUACCUUGUGCUCUUGGACCUAUGGUAUUUGAUAGAUGUCUCUGCGAUUUGGGAGCUAGUGUCAGCUUGAUGCCUUUAUCUGUUGCUAAGAAGCUUGGUUUCACUCAGUACAAGAAGUGUAGACAGUCUCUAGUAUUGGCUGAUCGUUCACUGAAGUACCCUGUGGGUAUCUUGGAGGACCUCCCCGUUAUGGUUGGAAAAUAUGAGAUCCCUACAGACUUUGUGGUGCUUGAGAUGGAUGAGGAAGCUGCAGAUCCUUUAAUCCUUGGAAGGCCUUUCUUACCAACAGCAAGAGCAAUUGUUAAUGUGAAAGAGGGCAAGAUUGAUCUCCACUUGGGUAAAGCGCAUGUUCUUCACUUUGACAUCAAGGAGGUAAUGAAGAAACCAACAGUUCAAGGGCAAGUUUUCUACAUUGAAGAGAUGGACGCCCUUGCUGAUGAGCUCCUUGAAGGGUUGUCACUAGAAGACCCUCUCCAACAUGCUUUGAUGAUAGAGAGAAAAGCUGAAGUGAUUGAGAACCUGGAGAGUGCUGCCUAUGGGAUGAUGAUGGAUUCACACAGAGGAUUUGGUAGUAAGGAUCUGUAUGAGGCGCUGCCACAAGUGGUUCAUCAAGAAACCUCAGUCAUUCAACAAGAGGACACCCAACAAGACGACUGGAGCGAGCUUAAGGCGCCUAAAGUGGAGCUUAAACCUCUCCCCAAUGGUGUAAUGUGUGCGUUCCUUGGUCCUAAUGAAACCUACCCAGUCAUUGUGAGUAGUGAACUUACUGAAACUGAGCUAUCUGAACUUUUGAAAACACUUAAAAGAUUUAGAAAAGCAAUAGGUUACUCUCUUGAUGACAUCAAAGGAAUAUCACCCUCUUUGUGUAUGCAUAGGAUACAUCUUGAGGGUGAAUCAAUGACUUCUGUCGAGCAUCAAAGAAGGUUAAAUCAUAACCUGAAGGAUGUUGUAAAGAAAGAGAUUCUUAAACUCUUAGAUGCUGGUGUUAUUUACCCUAUUUCAGAUUCUAAAUGAGUAUCUCCUGUGCAUGUUGUGCCAAAGAAGGGUGGUAUAACUGUAAUUAAAAAUGACAAGGAUGAAUUGAUACCAACAAGAACAAUCACUAGUCAUAGAAUGUGUAUUGAUUACCAAAAACUGAACUCUGCAUCGAGAAAAGAUCAUUUUCCACUUCCAUUUAUUGAUCAGAUGCUUGAGAGACUUGCAAACCAUCCAUUCUAUUGCUUUCUUGAUGGAUAUUCAAGAUUUUUCCAGUUCCCCAUACAUCCCAAUGAUCAAGAGAAAACGACAUUCACAUGCCCUUAUGGUACCUUCGCAUAUCGAAGAAUGUCAUUUGGUCUAUGUAAUGCUCCAGCCACCUUUCAAAAGUGCAUGAUGUCAAUUUUAUAUGAUCUAAUUGAGGAUAUUGUGGAGGUGUUUAUAGAUGAUUUCUCUGUCUACGGAUCUUCGUUUUCUGCUUGUUUGUCAAACUUGUGCAGGGUCCUACAGAGAUGUGAAGACACCAACCUUGUGAUGAAUUGGGAGAAGUGUCACUUCAUGGUUAAGGAAGGGAUUGUGCUGGGACACAAGAUUUCAGAGAAGGGGAUUUAGGUGGAUAAGGCCAAAAUCGAUGUUAUGGUUGGUUUGCCCCCACCAAAGAGAAUGAAAGACAUCCGAAGUUUUCUUGGUUAUGUUGGGUUCUACAGAAGAUUCAUCAAGGACUUCUCCAUGAUCACUAGACCAUUGACCAGGCUGUUGUGCAAGGAAGCCACUUUCAGCUUUGAUGUGGAAUGUCUACAAGCCUUCAAGAAGCUGAAAGGUGAACUCAUCAGUGCUCCGAUUGUCCAGCCACCUGAUUGGGAUCUCCCCUUUGAGAUCAUGUGUGAUGCUAGUGACUAUGCUGUGGGAGCUGUUUUGGGGCAGGAGAAAGAUGGCAAGACCCAUGUGAUCUACUACGCGAGCCAAACCCUGAAUGAUGCUCAGAUGAGAUAUACCACAACAGAGAAGGAGAUGUUAGCCAUUGUCUUUGCCUUUGAAAAGUUCAAAAGCUACUUGGUGGGAUUUAAAGUCAUUGUCUACACAGAUCAUGCUGCGCUGAGACACCUUUUGGCAAAGAAAGAUGCAAAACCCAGGCUCUUGAGAUGGAUUCUUUUGCUUCAAGAGUUUGAUUUGGAGAUCAAGGACAAGCCAUGAGUUGAGAAUGGUGUACCUGAUCACUUGUCCAGGCUGAGAGUGGAGUGUGGCAUUCCUAUUGACGAAGGACUUCCUGAGGAACAGAUCAUGGCUAUUGGAGCAGUGAUGGCAGUUUGUGAGACUGGUAUGAAGCUUGAAGAAGUCAAGGCAACAGAGGAGAAAGAACCUUGGUAUGCUGAUUUGGUAAAUUACCUAGCCGCAGGAAAAGAACCUUUGAAUCUUAUGGGCUAUGCCAAGAAGAAGUUCUACAGGGAUGUGAAGAGACACUACUGGGAUGAGCCCUACCUCUACAUUCUCUGCAAGGAUCAACUUUAUAUGAGAGUGGUUGCUAAUGAGGAGAUUGAUGGGAUCCUUACACAGUGUCAUGGACCAUCCUAUGGAGACCACUUUGCUACCUUCAAGACUGUUGCGAAGGUGCUACAAGCUGGAUUCUGGUGGCCACAUAUGUUUAAGGAUACACAGGACUUUGUUUCAAAGUGUGAUUCAUGCCAAAGGAGAGGGAACAUCACAAAAAGGAAUGAGAUGCCUCAAAAUCCAAUCCUUGAAGUUGAAGUGUUUGAUGUAUGGGGUAUAGACUUCAUGGGGCCAUUUCCAUCAUCUUUUGGUAACAAAUACAUCCUUGUAGCUGUUGACUAUGUCUCCAAAUGGGUGGAAGCUAUUGCAAGUCCCACCAAUGAUGCUAGAGUUGUAACCAAGAUGUUCAGGAGCACCAUCUUUUCAAGGUUCAGGGUUCCAAGAGUUGUAAUCAGUGAUGGAGGGUCUCAUUUCAUCAACAAACUGCUUGAGGGACUUCUCAAGAAGAACGGUGUUAAGCACAAGGUGGCAACUCCUUACCACCCUCAAACAAGUGGUCAAGUUGAGAUUUUUAACAGAGAAAUCAAGUCCAUUUUGGAGAAGAUUGUGGGGAUUACAAGGAAGGAUUGGUCAAUUAAGCUUGAUGAUGCGCUUUGGACUUAUAGAACAGCUUACAAGACACCUCUGGGGACCACACCCUUCAACCUAGUGUACGGGAAAGCUUGCCAUCUGCCAGUGGAGCUUGAGUACAAGGCACUAUGGGCAGUAAAGUUGCUGAACUUUAACAUCAAGAGUGCCAAGGAGAAAAGACUUCUUCAGCUACAUGAGCUUGAUGAGAUAAGAAUGGAUGCUUUUGAAAACUCAAGGAUCUACAAGGAGAAGACUAAAGGUUUCCAUGACAAGAAUAUCCUGAAGAGAGAUUUUAAAGAAGGAGAUCAAGUUCUUCUCUACAACUCUAGGCUGAAGUUGUUUCCAAGAAAGCUUAAGUCAAGGUGGUCCGGUCCUUUCAAGGUCAAAGAGGUUAGGCCAUAUGGGGCAAUAGUUUUGUGGAGUACUGAUGGAAGAGACUUCACAGUCAAUGGGCAAAGGGUUAAGCUCUACAUGGCUACUGCACCAGAGGAAGAUGGGGUUUCAACUCCACUUUCUGAUCCUACCCCGGCCUAAUCUAAAAGGAGGCAAAGUCAAGCUAGAGACUUAAAACAAGCUCACUUGGGAGGAAGUCUCAUGUAUAUCCUUGUACAUAUUGCAUUAAUAUUUUCAUUUUCAUCAUAUUUUCUAAAAAAAAAAAAAAGAUAAUUGAAGUUGUGCGCAGGUGCUCGAUUGAUUCGGAUUGAUCAAAGAAUCAUGCGUGGGAGCGAGGACCUGGAACGAGGAUGAAAGGUCGCUCCAUAUGGGAGCGAUGUCACCACAGCGACAGCCCGAGGUCGCUCGUGUUUUUGAUGUUUGGGUGCGCGAAAAAUAGACCGGGAGCAACGUCUUCGGAGCGACAAGGCUAAGUCGCUCGCGAAUAAGACUACCCGAGAGCGACCUCUCGCAGCGACAAGGCCAAGUCGCUCGCGAAUAAGACGACCCGGGAGCGACUUCCUAGAGUGAGCACAUGAAGUCGCUCCAGCUGGAAGCGACGUCUUCGGAGCGACACAGCUAGGUCGCUCGCGAAGAACCAUUUCGGAGCGACGUCUUUGGAGCGACACCGCUAGAUCGCUCGCGAAGAAACAACCCGGGAGCGACGUCCCGCAGCGACACCCUCAAGUCGCUCCCGAGCCGAUCCAGGUAAGUUUUCUUCGUUUUAAAACCGGUUUAAUUAAAACAAACCAAACCCAAACGCCCCCAACCCUACCCAACACCCACGAUUUCAUCUUCCUCACCCUCUCCUCCUCUCAUAAACUCUCAUACUCUCUCAAACUCACCCACACCAAAAAUAACCUAACUUUCUCAAUCCUCAACCAAAUCAACAAGUUCUUGUUGCUAAAUCCAAGUUUUCGCCCCUGUAAUCUAUUCCUCACCAUCCAUUCACCAUUUCCUUUCAUCCAAAGCAAGGUAUUGAGUUUUUAAAUUCAAAUUCGGAGGUUCAUGAACCCUAGAAUUUGAAAAUCAAAAUUUGGUCAUUUUCUUUCUAGAUUGUGGUAAAAUAGACUAGGAAAAGCUUAUCUAUCAAGUUAGGUUGUUGAAUCAAUGGUGAAAUUGAGUUUAAUUUGAACUUUGGCAAAAAAUUAGGGUUCAUGGAUUUGGGGGUUUUCAAAAUUGACCCAAAUUGAGUGUACUACUUGGUAAGUUAGUAUGUUAAGGUGUUGAAAGGUUUGAUUAAAGAAUCCUCUCAUUCUAGAACCUCUUUGAUUAUUGAAUUUUACUCUUGCCAUUUUCUUUUGCAAAGUUCAUCCACUUAUCCCUUUCUAAGUUUGGAAUUUUUCAGGUACCAAUGGUUAAGAAAACUAAGGGAAAGUCGGAUGCUGAGAAGCAAGAAGCGGAGAGAUGAGAAUCGGCAUUGAGAGAGAAAGAUUUAUCCUUGGAACAAACUGGCUCGAGGACUUCUCGGCAGCAAACCUUGGCUGCAAAGAAGACAAAAGAGCAGGAGAGGAGGGUAGGAAAAAGUGUAGCAGUUGCCACAGACGAGGAGAGUGGCGAUGAAAGUGCGGAUGAGCAGGCUCCUACAAAGAGGUCCAAGAUGUCAAAAGGGAAGGAGGUUGCCGUUGAUAGAGACAGGGCGAAAACUCCAUCUGAGGAAGAGCUGUAUCAUCAUUUGCUGAAUGGGGUAACUUGGACUCCAACCAGAUUCGCUGACCUUGAUUUGCUGAAGGAGGUGGGUCUCGAUUCUGAUAUUGAGGCAAUGCUGGGGCACCUGAAGAUGCCGAAACUCCUCACCAUGACCUACCCUACCUACCGGGAUGUCUCCUGUCAGUUCUUGUCUUCCCUUGAGGUCACUUACCAUGACGCUCUGCACGUGAGGCAAGGAUUGGGCAAAAUUAAGUUCUAGGUCAAUGGGAGAGAGUACAACAUGAACUUCAAAGACAUUGGGAGAGUCAUGGGUUUCCAAGACUUGGCAGACUACUCCCUUCCCAAGUGUGAAAACCUCCCCACUCAGCUUUGGAAGUUAAUCACUGGAAACAAGCACUCUACCGGGGCUGACAAGAACUCACAUAUCCGGCACCCGUCUGUACGCUACCUCCAUAGGAUGCUCGUCCAUGCAUUCUACCUACGGAAGCAAGCUGGUAAUGUCACCGAGGAAGACAUGCAACUGCUCUGCCCGGCAAUCCGCCCCUACGCCCCACCUGGAACGUUGCCCCUUCCAAGCAAUGACAUCUAUGCUUCCUUUGGGAUGGUCAGCUUCUUCGUGAAUCGUCUCGAGCACUACAGAGACUGGGCAUGGUACACAACUGAUUUGCAACCAAAGGUUAGGAUAGGCAGGAUGAUCACACCACUGCUCCAAUUUCUGAAUGUUCCCAUGGGAAAGGACGCAGCAGGGCCUAAGUUCAUCGAUGGCACUUACUUGACGAUUGCCACCUAUUUCAGUGGGAUGUAUGGGAAGGACUACAUCUACCACUACUACUUGCAGGGCAAGCCGGUCGAAGUGGUUCUUCCAAACCAGAACCUGACGAGCUUAGAGAGACCUGGAGUUAUCAGCUUCAACAUAUCCCAGGAAAACUUUCUUGGAGAACACGGGUCUCUCGGUCCCAUUGCUCCACCAAGGAAAAGGAGUGUUCUGACGAGACAUUACGAACCUCCUAGGGAAGCAUCUGUAUCUGUCUAUGGACCUCUGCGCUACUACUUCAAGCCACAUGAUGGGGUUCUUCCUCCUGGUGCGCUUCGUGACGCUCAUGAGCAUAUUGGUCGACUUCAGAGAUGGAACAAGGCACAAGACAGGACAAUAGAAAAGCUGAAGGACAAGUGCAAGGCGCUGAGUAAGACGGUGAAGAAGCAAGCAAAGACUUCAGCCAAGUUCAUGAAGAAAGUGGCCGAUGUCUUGACCAGAGGAGGCAUAGCUGGAUGUAGCUCAGCGGACUUCGCUUUCGCGAACACAUCAGUACCCCAGCCCCCACCUCAGCCUACUGAUCUUGGUUUCCCUCUCACUGAUAGACAGCUCCAGCGAACAUGGAGGAACCCACCCAUUCAACCCUCCACCUCAGGCAACAAGUCUCCAUCCCUAGCCUCUUCAUAUAGUGAGGCUGAGAUUGACGAGGUUCAGAGCCAACAAUGGUAUGGAGACUACAGCUCAGCAUAUGGGAGUUACUACACCACGUUCCCACCGGACGACGACGAUGCUGGGGCCUCUGCCCCUACUCACUUUCCUUGAAAGUACUUCAUUAUUUCCCCUUGUAUAUACCAUCUCAUUUUUGCAUAUUAGCUUUUUCUUGUGGGUAUCUCCCUCUACUUGACAACACAGAGACUGUGUAACUUAAGUUUGGGGGAGGUACCAAGUAUUUGAUCACGUUUGCUUUGAUGAAUUUGCAUUGAGUCUUGCACACAUACCUUUUUGCAUUAAAAAAAAACAUAUAGAUUGCAUCACUUGCAUUUUUAGGAGAGUUUAGAUCAUAUAGGUUGCAUUCACUUGCAUUGGGAGCAAUGAUUUAAGAUGCCUUGUAAAGAACACUAUCUCACACUCGAGUAGCUAUUGCAUCUCUCAAAAAGCCUUGUAUGUUUCGAGCCUUGAAAACUCUUCCUGAAUCUCAUUAGUUGCUGAAACUCAAUCUUUGAAGCCAACUACAUCCUUAUUUGAACUGAACGAACUUAAUGCUUCUUGCUUAUGGUCCCUUGUGUACUGAGUCAUGGAUAUACACACUUGAGUUGUCACAUCCUUUAUGCCAAUCUUUUUGACAAACUCGAGUGGUACACCACUCCCAAAACCCCUUCCUCUUUUUAAGCUUUCAUUGUUUGAUGAGUGAGGCCUUUUUCGAAAAGUCUUACAUGUGCAUAAUGUUGAGAGUAUCGGGAACGACAAUGCUUGAUCUUCAUUCUUGCUAGAUUAGGUACUCUAUUGUCUAGCUAUAGGUUGGGGUGAGUAUUGUGAUUAUGAUUUGGAAGUAUGAAAAGUUCGAAGGAAAAGAAUAUACUCUUUGUGUUUAAAUGGAUAAUCUUAUUGGAAUUAGUAGAUAAACAUCUAGCUCGAGUUUAUGAAAAGUCUUGGCCCCCGAAAAAAAAAAAUAAUAAUAAUUAAAAAAAAAGAAAAAAAUGUAUAUAUAUAUAUAAAGAAAAAAAAGAAAAAAAAAGAGAAAAGGGGGCUAACAAAGUUGUUAGGAGCUAAGAUUGUUUUGAAGUUGAGGAAAAUCUUUUAUAGAUGUCAAAGAAAAAGAGUUUUAUGUGCAAAGUGUUCUUGGGUUCUUUUGGUGAGAGAUGUGAGUUGUGUUUGACAUUGGGAAGUGAAUGUGUAACUUGAAUGUUUGGGAAAAGGGUAGAACAAUGGAGAUUGAACAUUGUAUGCAUGAGUUGGUCCCUUUCUUAGAUAUAUUAUGUGCAAUGUCAAGGCUACUUGUUUCGAGAGUAAACCACCUUAAAGAUCAUAUAUCUUGAACCUCUUGACUCACUUGAAUAAAAAGCCUUCCCUUACCCAACCAAAUGAUUUGGACCAAUUGACCAUUUGCAAGAAUUCACCUGAUGUUUUAUGCUUAAUGAAUGUGAGAGUUGGUUGAUUUGAAUGUGUGGAUGCUUGAUGAUGAGUGUAAGGGCAAAAGGAGUUGAGAUAGGUCUAGAGAAGCUAGAGUGUAAUGAGAGAGUGUGCUCUUGUUGGGUUAUAUGUUGAAUUAAGUGCUAGUGAUGUUUCUUUUGGCUAUGAGCUCCCACCUUCAACCCUCUCUCCCUAUGAGUUCUAGAAAGUUCACUUGUGUACAAGUAAAAGAACAAGUUUGGGGGAGUUGAUAUCUUGCAUAUUUCCAUUGUUUUAUCCAUUCACCCAUGUGCAUUUUGAUCAUAUAGACUAGGAUUUAGACAUAUUUAGGUUGCAUUUUGCAUACAUGAGUCUUUAUCAGGUAUUGGAGUACCACGUGGAGUUCUUGGAGACAAUUGGGUGCAUUUGGAGCUAAAAAGAGGUGAUAAAGGUGAUCAUUGGACAAGCAGUGCAUGGGAGCGACCGCACCGGAGCGACACCGUGAAGUCGCUGUGACACCCCUUCAGAGCGACUUGACCAGAGCGACACCCCGAUGUCGCUCGCGUAGAAACAACGAAAACGCGCACGGAGCGACCUUACCACAGCGACGUGGAGAAGUCGCUCGCGUCUUCAUCCCCAGGAGCGACCAGUCGCAGCGACCUCUCCAGGUCGCUCCCGAAGAAACGACCCGUGAGCGACUUCUCGCAGCGACUACUGGAGGUCGCUCCCGACCUAUUGUUUACCCGAAUUCAUUUCUACUCAAGGGCCUUUUGGCCAUUUCAUUAUGCACGUUUUACACUUUCUAAACCUAUGUUUAAGAAUCCUUUGUAAGCCAUUGGAGGCAGAUUAUCUGGAUCUUAAGAAACACAACAAAAAAAACCGCUUGGAACGUUCAUCUCUUUGGAUUCAAUUGAUUUUCUGUUAUUGCAAUCCUGUUGUUUUCAUAUCGAUUCUAUGUAUUCCUCUACAUGAUUAAUCUAAAAUCCAAUAUGGGUUUAAGAGGAAUCAUGGAGAUUAGUGAGUAAUCACCUUUUGAAUUCAUGGGUUAGGGAGAUUAAAGGUGAUUAGGUUAGAACUAAGAUGUUUUAGUGUAGAUCAUUCUUAAUCCUUGCUAGUAGAGUAUUCAUAAUGCUUCUUCUGAAUUAGCUACUCAAAAGUUGACCUUUAGGCAUUUCCCACCCAAAAGGUGUUUGAUGAAAUGCCUGAGACAACUCUUCUAAGCUUUUAGCAUAUUUUACCGAAGACAUUUGUUGUUAGAAGUGCUAAGAUAGCCUUUAGACUUGCUAGUAAUGAUUGCUUUCAUAUUGUUCAACCAAAGACAUUUGUUGUUUGAAAUGUGUUAGUAAAUGAACAUUCAUCUAGACAUAGAGUCUGCUUAGAAUUGUGUCUAAGCUUAAGGUUGAUAGUUUGAUUGUUCGUUUUGCCAUCCUUAGUUCGAAACUUGAUCACCCGAGGUCUAAUUCCUACGCUCAUGAGUUAUCUUUUCCCUUAGUUAAAAAAGUCGUUUCAUUUAUCGUUUUUAUUAUUCUGCAACUGCAUUAGCAUUAAUCGUUAGUUUAGAAAACCUUUUUAAUCAUCGGUUGCACUUAGAUUAAGCAAGUACUUGCACUCUCAGUGCUUGAAAUCCCUUAGAAUUGGUUCGACAAUCUUUUAUACUACAUCAUUUGUUUUAGAAGCCUUCAAAACUCUUAACAUCAAUAACUCACACACGUUUCUACUAGUUGUGGUAGCGACUUUAUGCUUCUUGAACAAGUGUUGAUGACUAUUGUCUCAUACCCUUUAUCCUCAGGAUUACAACCAGUCGUAACAACCUGUUCAACCCGAUUCCGCCUGCGCAUUUUUCUCUGCCUUUGACCAGAACCUUCAAGCUAAGUCUAACCUUGAAUCGGCCUUUCCCUUUAGGUUCUUCCUGUCACUCACACGAUCUCACUAAAAUUGCUACAUGCUGUUACCACAAAUAGACAUUUGCUCCAACAUACCCUUGUGUAGGCUUUUACACACUUUUGUCCUUGCUCUAGUUGCUUCUUCGUGGAGGUAUAACCUAUUCCUGCCACACUGACUUGGUGACUAUUCUGGCUUUCUUCUUACAGCCAGAAACUUUCUGUGUCACUCUCACGACCUCACUAAAGCUGUUACAUGCUGUUACCACAAAUAGCCAUUUGCUCCAGCAUAUACUUGUGUAGGUUUUUACACACUUUUCCCUUGCUCUAGUUUCCUCUUCGUGGAGGUACACACGGUUUCAGUCACAGUAACUUGGUGACUCUUCUGGCUUUCAUCUAUCUGCCAAAAACCUUUCCUCUCAUGCACCCACGAGCCUGACUUGAACUGACCCAAAACAAAUCACCGUUGUUUCGUCAUAUUGUUGUCACACGACAACCAACCUUUGCAGCUGCAAGAUCUGUUGGUCAUCUUUCGCUAAGAUAACAUGCAUUCCUUGUGAUCUCUGAAAAACCUUCAGUCCCUGUGAGAUUGAUGACCUUUGAUUCCAUCUCCUUAAGUCUAUAUUUGACUUAAUGUGAGUCUGUCUUCCCUUGAGAUAUCCUCCAUCCCAAACGACUCAAAUCAAUCUCCAACACUGCUGAUCACAAACACGCCCACCUAUGCAGCCCUCUUGUUGCAGCUUACGCGAGUCUUCCCUUUCUUGCAAAUACCGCUGCAUCCCUUGCAAGUCUCUGAUCAUGAUUUCACCAACCUGAAACCACCAUGUGCUUUGAGAUCAUCCUCUGUGAACGUUUCUUCCUCUGUCUCUGAUGUCGUUGUUGUCUACCACAAAUGAACAUCUUUGGUUUGUCACACUUACUACGAUCGUGACUAAAAAUCUACUGAUUCUCCUCUCCAAAAUUUCCAGCUGAUGUCGAUGCUAACUUGAAGCUCCUGCAGAACCUGAAUCACCAUUGCCUCAAACUAGAAGCCCUUUGACUCAAUUCUUAUCCAACCUCAAUAGCCCGUAGACACUCAACUCCUCAUCCUGAAAAUUUCCUUUGUUACAAUCUGAAUGAACACCUUGCCUUGAACAUCACUCUGAACCGCUGAUGUUGCCAACAGAUCCUGCCGCUUAGCUCAACUUGCUAAGAAGACUUUCGAUGCAAAGAAUCUCUGCUCAACUUAUGCUCAAACAAAUCAUUACCUCAGCAACCGUGAUACCAUGUAGACCCAUUUAAUUUUCCCCUCAUAUGCCCUGAGAAGCCAAAACAAACUACUACUGAAUCCCAUGCAGAAAAUCCGAAACAUACAUGUUUCCAUCCUGAAUCAAUCUCGAUUUGACACCGCCACCUGUUCAGCCGAACUCUGCCUUGAACAAGUAACUCUUCGUUCUCGCAGAUCUAUUCCAGCAGAAAACUAUGUGUUACGCCAAACAUAUAUUUGCUUAGAAAACCACACUGCAUUCCCUCUGAAAAUAGCAGUCUUGUAGUAUAUUGUUCUCUGAACCUCUAUCUGACUGUAGACUCACAUAAUCACACAUAGACAAACCCGCAUGAGUCGAUCUCCUUCAACCCUUCUGAAACACCCUUCAUGCUGAGUAAAGAAUACCAUCUGAAACAGCCAUGAAACACUCAUAUCAUUCAAGGUUCUAAGGCAUCCCCUAGUUCCAAGAAUUCCAUGAGAUACCGAGCUGAAAUACCCACAUAGAUUAGAACAUCACCUGCAACUGAUAUACCAUGUACAUUAAAUCCAAAAACACCGUGAAAACCCUCACUGAAUCUUCAGACAAUCCCAUAGAAAAACCAGUGCGAAAACCCCUUGUGCUCCACUAUGCUUUCAGUUCCAAUAACUUGCAGAACAUGAAGAAAUCCGAAAAUCCAAUGCAUAUAGUCACACACACCUUGUGACUGUCACACAAUCCUUGUGACUGCAGAUCGAAGAUAGCUCUAAAACCUUUCUUUCUUAUGCUAGCAGCAUGCCACCAUUUUAUCUUGUGAGUAACCCGAAGUCCUUCUCACACAGUAGCUGAUUCUUGCACCCAUGGAGAACUCUAGAGAAGCCCUGAUUUCAUAACUAGAAAUCAUCUCAACCGAUUCAACUGACUCGUGAAUCCUUCCUCCAUAAACUUGUGCAGCUGCAUCGAAGAACGUCCAACAGUUUUUCUUCUUCUCUUGUAAAUCGAAAAUCUCUUUGACCUGAUCUUGUAACUCGGUUUAUCCUCUGAUUUUUAACUUAAUCAGAUUCCACGUGUUUAGAACCACGUGACCACCAACUUCCAUUAAACCUUGCGAGUUUCUUUUGUCUCGCUUGGAAGCUUCUUCGUAUGUCUCUCCUCUUCGAGAUGUGGACUCCAUGAAUCAAUGAGCCUAUGCUCUGAUACCACUUGUGGGGGGGGGGGGGUUAUGAUAGCCACUUGUAGCGGAAUACAAGCUCAUAAUACCCAUGUCCCUUUCACUACUCAUACAAUUCAAUCCUUGUUCAUGACUCAAGAAUUUUUCACCCAGUUCACGGCCGCAGCGCGCUACAUCUAGGGUGGAUCCAUGAUCCACGAUCCACAACAUCCAAUAUGAAGUAUCGGAAAACACCUCCGAUGUGGUUUACAAAAUCAUUACUCUCUCUGUCCUGGGUAUACAAACCCUAGAGAGUAUAAAGAGAUUACAAGAGAAGUACAUGGCUAAGAGCUAAGCCUAGAACAACAUAUCUAUGUCUAACUUACUCUAUCUCUCUAAGAGACGCCAUGGAAUCUCCCGCCUCCUAGAGGCUCAGCUUGAGUUUAGAAAUCCAUGUCGUGAUCUCUCCUUCUUUGUAUCAGCACUUUACCUAAUGAGCUUCAACGAUUAGGCCCAUAUGUUGUCCGCGCGUAACUUGUGCAAACCGACCCAACAUUGAACAUGUCUAAUGGACUUUGACCAAACCUCACAGAAAAAAAGCUCAUUUCCUUUAGAAUUAGCCGGAGACUUCAUAAUCACAAGGGAACUAGAGAAAGUUCACCGAAAGAUCUAUUCGGAUGCAAGCAACUAAGGAAAAUCAAACUCUCUAAGCAAGAUGAAAACACCACCAACAGUUCAGAGAUGAACUAAGCCAACAAUCUGAGAAAAGAAAGUACCUUGAACCAAGGUGAAGGUACAUUUUUUUCGCUGAUGAUGGAGACACUGAAACUCAAGACCCGCCACGAUCCGGAACAAAAUAAUAGGCUACAACAGUAGAAUAAAAAAGCCGAAACGAACAUUUUACGUGAGCUUUUUAGAUGAAGAGACCUGUUGAACUAGCAAUAAUUGACUACAACAAUCACGUAGAAUUUUUAUAUUGUUUUGUGCCGUUCAACCUCACACAUCAAAAAUUGUUUUUGAAAGCUACAGUUAUGGACGAUUGUGAAUUGAUAGUUAUGGACUACAGUUAUUUCUAAAGUGUUUAACAAGCUUUUGAUCUACGGAAGGUGUCUAGAGUCAAAGGCCGAUAUUGUAGACAUUUGAAAGACGGGAGUGAAUAAAUUCUCGCAUCAGAUUCCAGCGUAAGCUUGACUCUAAAGCAGUUCUUAAUUGAUCUUAACACAAAGAAGCCGUAAAGUCUCUUUUUCUUUUGGUAACUGCAUAUAUCUCUCUAGGUUGAGUAGGUUCGACAACAAGCUGUGGAAUGUGAUGCUAAGUUAGAACUUAGUGGUAAUGUUUAGGAAGCAACUAUUCGUAAAUUCUGCCUCUUAGUAUAAAAAUAUAUUAAUGCCUUUGUGGUUAUCAAUUUGUAUGUUUACCAAAAAUAGUAGAUUAAAAGAGUAAUAGAAACUAAAUAUAAUACAGUCAAGUAGAUGUAUCAGAUGUGUAAAAAGUUUUUGAACUGGAACCUAUUUCACUACAUAAAGACUAAAGCUAUUCAGUUUUAUAUAUGGUUUCCGGAAAGCUUGUCUUGAAGAUAAUGAUUAAUGGAAAAAUAAUUUCGGAAAUGUUCCUAUAAUUUUGUUUAUCAUACAUAUUCCGCUUGGCAGUGAUGGCCUCGGAUCAAAGUCCUCUCCAUUUACUUAAAGUUCCGGCUCCGUGUUGGUCAUGACUGCAUUGAGAGUAGCAGCACUUGCCUUUGCUUCGCUCAUCUUCUUCUCCAAAGUCCUCUCCAUUUACUCUCUCCACUUAAAUGUCUGUCAACAAACAAAUAAAACCAUUAAGGAAAGAGAUCAUAGACUGAUAACUCUGAGCCAAAAUAUGAUCAUUUGAAGAAGUUUACCUCAAUCGAGUAGUUUUUUUUGUUAGUUAAGCAGAUAUUGCGGUGGUAGGCGAAGAAUCCAGCAAGAAGAAGAGAAACAAGGGCAAUAAACACCAUUAAAAGUAUCUGGGGGCAUUGUAUGUACCAACUAGCCAUUGUUUCAAAGACAACCCACACAGCCAUUACAUUAAUCUGUCUGUAUGUAGACAGAAUUUUUUUAACUAAAAAGUCCAAAAAUGCAGCCUAUUUAACCAGCAAUAAUUGAUUACAACAGUCACAUAUUUUACAUAAGCGGCGGAACUCACAGCCUGAGCACUUUACCACCAAGCCACAAACUCUCGGUUAACAAUCACAUGUUUCAUACUGCCUUGUGCUAUUCAACCUUAGAAAAUUUGUAGUACUUUUAUUGACCAAAAAAACUUACAGAACUGAAAAUUGUAUUCUGAAUAUUUACGUUUAGCGUCUAUUGUAAUCUGUAAAAAGAUAGCUAAAAUUAUUCGAAAAUUAAUUUAUAUAUUUUUUGGAAAUUCAAAUUUAGAUAUCAUAAUUAUAAUAACUAGUAACAUGUUUUAUUUGUUUAUUAUACAGGCUUUUACGUUUCUUUUGUACAUAUUAAUCAGUGCUUAGGUUUAGGCCGUAUAUACAGAUGCUGGUGCUGGAGGAUGCAUGAUUGAGUAAUCACUUACUAUAAAAUAUUUAUACAUUCCACGUUUCGAUAACAACAAAAUUAAUUGAUUAAAAUAUUUAUACGUUCUCAUUACUUAAUCCAAGCAUGUUUACUGGAUCUUUCUUCUGUCUAUCUAUUUUGUUUAUUUUAAUCAAAUACAUACUCUCUCGGUUUCAAAAUACAUGAAGUUUUAGUACUAUACACAACUAUUAAGAAACUUGUUUUUUAUCUUAAAAAUAUCAUUAAAAUAUAAAUUAAAAGCUAUUCAACCAAUCACAAAACAUACUACAAAAUAUCAUUGGUUAUACAGUUUUUGAUAAAGUUAAAAAGUACAUUAGUAUAUCAAAACAUCAUCUAUUUUGAAACAUCAAAAACUCUCUAAAAUAUCAUCUAUUUAGAAACAGAGGAAGUAUCUUUAUAUAUAAAGAACAGUUUUCUCUAUCCCGGUGAAGACACCUAAGAUGCCAUGUCACAAAAUCAGGUUCUGUGAGUGUGACACGUGUCAUAGGAAACAAAACACAUCGUUUUAUUAAAACAGGUUUGAUGAGCUUCGAUCUGAUCACUGUCUGUUUACGUUUUGCGCUGUAAAAAUUAGAUGUUUUGCGGCCCGAGCAUAUGGAAUCAUGCGUAACCCUAAUUGUAAUGAAACGAGGAGAUGGAGAUAAUGUUAGAAACGCAACGUUUCUGAUUUUAUAAUUUCAUCGCUCUCUCCUCUCCGUCGUAGCGAUUCAAAGGUUUCUAUCGAUUUAUUCAUCUUCUUCCUGCCAAUCCAGAGAUCAAUCGGUUACUGAUUCAUUCCUAUUAAAUUCCUUCUUAAUCCAUAGGCAGUGGAGGUUCAACUAUAAAAAGGUUAGCAUCCAUACACUAUGAAUCAUCCUAUCAAUCUACUUAUUUACUGAGAAAUGGCUCUCGAGUUUUCCUUUCAGUUUCUCUGGAUCAAUCAUUAUAGUCCCCAUAAAAUCUCUCACAGUGGCCGACUCAUCAAUUUUGCUAGCCGAGUUGAAAUCUGGGCAUUGCUGCAACACCGAAGUCUGAAUGUUGAGGCUCCUCCUUGACGAGAAGGUAAUUUCAGUGGACAUUAACUGUUUUUAGUGUUUUUAGGAGAAAGAAUGCAAACUUCUGGGUUGUUGAUCUUUAGGCCACCGCCUCAACACCUUCAGAUAGAUUUUUUAGGAAGGCUCAUUGUACUCUAUUAGUGGGUUUGACGUUCCAUGUAGCAAUGUUAACUUCAAGCUGUCGGACUCCAAUCUCUCCAUACGUUUCAGUGAUCAAACUGUCUUGCUGAGAUAACCGAACCGGCCAAUCCAAUACCCAUGUAGCUGUUCAGGUUCGGCAGUUAACAUCAGCUACUUGCUUUAGCAAACGUCAAUACUCAUCUUCCUGGGUACUCUCUCGGCCUCUGCUUCUAAAACAUAUAUUCUGUUUUUUUUGUGCAUCAAAUACCGUAAUGAACAAUAGGUACUUGCUGAUGCUGUCACUGCCAAUUAUUGUUUGGCAGACAUUUUCGGUGAAUUGACUGAGAUCAGAAGCACACUGAAUGAAGACUUACAGAGCAAAGUACGUGUGAUAGCGACUAUUAAAAUUCAGAGGUUAGUCUCGCUGUCCUAGGAAAACAUUUCUUCAUUGGAUUCCUCUAAGGAAGAACGACCCAGCCUCCAUAAGAAUAUAUCUUGGUCUCCUCUGAAACGUAACUUCCAGAGAACUUGGCAAGUCAUAUGCCUUUCUCAUAUGCUAAUUACCCAUCUCCUCUCUCUCUCUUAUUUUGUCUCUUUCAAAGAUUCAGACUUCACUGAAAUUAAUGAUCAAUAUUUGUUUUUGUAUAUGAUGUUUUUGUGUAUAGUGAUUGCGGGAAUGGAGAGAUAUGCGUUUAAAGGAGUUCCAUCAAACUAAGUAACAUAUCUAACAAAUGUAGUGAAGAUGAGUAAUUCAUGAGCAGCCAUACAGUAAAUUCGUGGGCUGGGUUCCGUUUCUAUGUUGCCUCUCUUCUCUGCUCCUUUGCUGAUGUGUAUAGUGAUAGAUUCGUCACUAUCCUUUUUCUUAUUCUGUCUACUUUGUGGUACGAGUCUUUUACAUUGAACUAUAUACAUAUUUGUGUCAUAUAAGCAAUUUUUUUUAAGUUAAUGUUGAACUCUCUUUUAUGUCAAAUUAUGUUUAUCCAAUGAGAUUAGGCUAUUUGGCCAUCUUAUGAUCGUUUAUCAUUUUUACUUUUAGCAUUACUCUUUUAUGUCAAAUUAUGUUUAUCCAAUGAGAUUUGGCUAUUUGGCCAUCUUAUGAUCGAUUAUCGUUUUUAUUUUUAGCAUUAUACUGCAAAAUUAAUAAUCAGUCAUGCGAAGUUUAAUUAAUCGUAACAAGAAUGAAUUCAAUAUUAUUUUUAAUUAAAAAGGAUGGUCAAGAAUUUUUUUUUUUUUUGAGACAUGACUUAGGAUGGUCGAGAAUAUUGAAUCACAUAAAAUAUAUAAUCAGACACUUUCAAAUAAAAUAUUAAGUGUUUGCUUCAAAGGUGAGAUGUGGGAACGAAAGUGAAAACAAUGAAUAAAGUAAAAACACGAUCUAGACAUAUUAAAUAGCUUAUCUUGGUUGCUUAUAUCGUUUAAAACCACAAUACAAAAUUUGUUAUAGUUUGGUGAUAACUUUUUUUAACCAACAGCCAAUGUUGAGAUAAAAAUAUGAUUAUGAUCAUUCUUCAAAAUUGAUAUAUAUAUAAACGGUGCAUUUACAUCAAAAUAGACUUUGGACGAAGUGGAACACAAAUUUGAAAAGACAAAUUAUCAAACACCUAUGAAAAUAAGAUAAAUAAUAUUUAGAUAAUGGAUCCCAUUAAUAGCGUUAUAAAUGCAUAAAUUUUGUUGUAAGAACUCAGUCUGUAAUUGUUGGUGACGUAGUUAUAAGUUCUUUUUAUAUAGAAAAUAUUACAAUUUUUAAACAGUUGAUUUAAGAAAAUAAAAGCAUAGAAAUAUAUAGGGUUGUAAAUUUAAGGGGUAGAGUCCAUUCAAGUUCCGAUUGAUAACGACUUUCGUUUUAUGCUUUGGUUUUAGAUUUGUGGCUGUAGAUAUUUUAGCUUUAAAACCAGCAACUAUUACAUUAUAAAGUUUAAAAACCUGCUUGGUAUCAAAGGUUUUAAAAGCUCUGACUGUUAUAAAUAUAUAUUUAUGAUUCAUUCCAAAAAUGUAUUAUCUACUUUUUUCUAUCUACUUUUUUUAUUUAUGCAAGUCUAUAGAAUAUGUGGAAUAGUUUUAGACGAUAAAUCAGUUAAAAUUUAUCAACAAAUAAAUUUUAUUUAUUUAUUAUAGAAAUAAUAAUUUAAUCAUUCGUAAAUGUUUUAGUUACCAUAGACAAUAAGUUUUAGGCUUUAACAAAUUAAUUUCAAUAAUAGUAGGUUAUGAUUUUUUCCUCAUGUUAAAAAUCUAACUAAUUAAUAAUUAAUAAUAAUUAAUUUAUCAAUCAUCAGUUUUAUUUUUUUGUUUUCUUGGUCAAAAAUAGACAAAAGACAAAAAAAAAUUAGUUACCCACUUCUUUUAAAAAAAAUAAAGAAAAAAAGCUUUAAAAUCUUUAAAAAUGACUGUAGAACAAGGUGAACAAAAAAAAACAGCUUCUUCUAAAAAUGAGAUUUUAAGGCUUUAUAUAUUUCUAAAAUCUCAAAUAAUUUAUUGGUAAAUUAUUGGAUUUCAAGGCUUUACAUAACCACAAAGUCUCAAUAGUCUCAUU
This 23477-nucleotide long non-coding RNA is filed under the name Brassica napus (rape). Its description in RNAcentral is "long non-coding RNA (BNAP_LNC012333)". Lineage: Eukaryota; Viridiplantae; Streptophyta; Magnoliopsida; Brassicales; Brassicaceae. The record is from RNAcentral.